Molecule: transfer RNA, 71 nt
Filed under: Fidelibacterota bacterium
Lineage: Bacteria; Pseudomonadati; Fidelibacterota
Description: tRNA-Gln
Rfam family: tRNA
About the family: Transfer RNA (tRNA) molecules are approximately 80 nucleotides in length. Their secondary structure includes four short double-helical elements and three loops (D, anti-codon, and T loops).
Source: RNAcentral
UGGGGUGUCGUCUAAUGGUAGGACACCGGGUUUUGGUCCCGGCAGUCGGGGUUCAAGUCCCUGCGCCCCAG